UGGGGAAUUUUGGACAAUGGGCGAAANCCUGAUCCAGCAAUGCCGCGUGUGUGAAGAAGGCCUUCGGGUUGUAAAGCACUUUUGUCCGGAAAGAAAUCCUUGGCUCUAAUACAGUCGGGGGAUGACGGUACCGGAAGAAUAAGCACCGGCUAACUACGUGCCAGCAGCCGCGGUAAUACGUAGGGUGCAAGCGUUAAUCGGAAUUACUGGGCGUAAAGCGUGCGCAGGCGGUUUGCUAAGACCGAUGUGAAAUCCCCGGGCUCAACCUGGGAACUGCAUUGGUGACUGGCAGGCUAGAGUAUGGCAGAGGGGGGUAGAAUUCCACGUGUAGCAGUGAAAUGCGUAGAGAUGUGGAGGAAUACCGAUGGCGAAGGCAGCCCCCUGGGCCAAUACUGACGCUCAUGCACGAAAGCGUGGGGAGCAAACAGGAUUAGAUACCCUGGUAGUCCACGCCCUAAACGAUGUCAACUAGUUGUUGGGGAUUCAUUUCCUUAGUAACGUAGCUAACGCGUGAAGUUGACCGCCUGGGGAGUACGGUCGCAAGAUUAAAACUCAAAGGAAUUGACGGGGUCAUAGCUGUUUCC
RNAcentral lists this ribosomal RNA (584 nucleotides) under uncultured bacterium. RNAcentral describes it as "partial 16S ribosomal RNA". It matches the Rfam family "Bacterial small subunit ribosomal RNA", at positions 355 to 937 of the family's 1533-position model. The record is from RNAcentral.